This 379-nucleotide ribosomal RNA is filed under the name uncultured crenarchaeote. RNAcentral describes it as "bacterial SSU rRNA". The stretch from base 1 to 312 matches the Rfam family "Archaeal small subunit ribosomal RNA", at positions 63 to 378 of the family's 1478-position model. Lineage: Archaea; Thermoproteati; Thermoproteota. The record is from RNAcentral.
UUACGGCUCAGUACACGUAGUCGGCUCAGUCACGAGUGGAUAAUCUGCCCUAAGGUCAGGUAUAACUCCGGGAAACUUGUGAUAAUCCGGAAGAAGUGAUAGAAUAAAGAAUGUUCUGGGAUUAAUAGCUCCAUCUCCUCCAGGAGGGUAUUGGGUCUGACCAGGUGUUGGGGGGGGAAAUGGCCCACCAAACCUGUAACCAGUCCGGUCCUUGAGAGAGGUGGCCGGGAGAUGGACACUGAGAGAAGGGUCCAGGUCUUACGGGGCGCAGCAGGCGCGAAACUUUCGCAAUGCGAAAAAGCGAUAAGGGGAAAUCCGAGCCAGCACGCAGAGGGGCUCUCCGUCGGCUAAAAAUAGGCAGGCGAAAAGGAGCAUCUCU